AAUGAACGCUGGCGGCAUGCCUAACACAUGCAAGUCGAACGAGACCUUCGGGUCUAGUGGCGCACGGGUGCGUAACGCGUGGGAACCUGCCCUUAGGUUCGGAAUAACUCCCCGAAAGGGGUGCUAAUACCGGAUAAUGUCUUCGGACCAAAGAUUUAUCGCCUUUGGAUGGGCCCGCGUUGGAUUAGCUAGUUGGUAGGGUAAAAGCCUACCAAGGCGACGAUCCAUAGCUGGUCUGAGAGGAUGAUCAGCCACACUGGGACUGAGACACGGCCCAGACUCCUACGGGAGGCAGCAGUGGGGAAUAUUGGACAAUGGGCGAAAGCCUGAUCCAGCAAUGCCGCGUGAGUGAUGAAGGCCUUAGGGUUGUAAAGCUCUUUUACCCAGGAUGAUAAUGACAGUACCGGGAGAAUAAGCUCCGGCUAACUCCGUG
RNAcentral lists this ribosomal RNA (433 nucleotides) under uncultured bacterium. RNAcentral describes it as "partial 16S ribosomal RNA". It matches the Rfam family "Bacterial small subunit ribosomal RNA", at positions 29 to 507 of the family's 1533-position model. The record is from RNAcentral.